GCGCGGUGUGUCCGCCCAUCGCCUCCCUCCGCGCAUGGAUGUGUCCGCCCUUCGCCCUUCCUCCGCGCCCGCUCGGUCAUCCCCUUACCGCCCAGUGCCCGACGGUUCCUCGCUCACGCGGUCACGCCUCCUUGUCCUCCACCUCCACCAGGCACGCGAGCAGGCAGUUCCACCUCGCCGCCGCCCUCACGCCACCUCUGCCCUCUCUCUCGCGCGCACGCGCUACACGCCUCCGCCGCCGUUGCUCGCCCACCGGAGGCCGAUUCACCACCUCCGCCGCGCGACAUGCCGCCGCCACUGCUCACCAACAGGAGGCCGAUUCACCAACUCCGCCGCGCGACACGCCGCCGCCACUGCGCACCAACCGGAGGCCGAUUCACCAACUCCGCCGCGCGACACGCCGCCAGCGGUGGCCGUAUUCCGGCCAAAUCAUGGAGCAGCUCCGAAGUAGAAUCGCCACCACGAAGCAGCUCCGAAGCCGGCCGCCGCCGGCCGGAUUCCGGCCAAAUCCGGCCCUCUCCGCCGAAAAAAUUGGGGACUGCAAACACUGACCACUCGUGAAUUUGCCACUCCCAGUGAAUGACACAGUAGGACUAUAUGUGUAUGAAAUAUGGGGCCAAUGUCAAAACUGCAAUCCCAAUCCCGCCCUGCCGCCGGCCCUCCUGCGCCUCCACGACGAUCUGAUCCGGCUCGAGGCCCUCGUCGUCGUCUCCACGUCAGGUGAGCCCCUCUUACAGUUUGCAAUUGAGUUCAUCCCUGUGUUUGCAAGGAGGAGCUGAAUUAGGUGUCUGGGAGGAGGGGCCACGAUGCUCGCGGAUCCGGCGACCGAGCUGUGGGUGCUCCACCCCGGACGCGCGCACGACUCCGCACCGCCUCGUAGCGGUGCCAUCGCCGCCCUGGCGCCGCGCGCCGCCGUGGAUCCGCAGCCGCCAUGUCGCACGACUCCCCAUUUGCCUGUGCAUCUACUCUUACUUCUUUUUACUCUUUGUAGUCGCCCAUCAGUGCCGCCGCCAACCACAUGGAUCGACGCAGUUGAUGGCUGCCCCGGCCGCGCACCCAUGGUUGCCCACCGCACAGUCGCUGCCCUUGCACCCUCGACUUUGUGGCCCCUGACCUCAACGGAGCCGUGCGGUGGGCUGCGUCGCUCGCUUGCUUGGUUGCUCCCACCACAUGCUGGCGCGGCCGCUCAUGGCGUGCUUCAGCGGUGGAAGUUUGGACGCUUGGUCAUGGGUUGAGCAGUGGGAUCACCUGUGUGAGGCGUCAUCAUAGUAUUGUAGACGCCAAACUACAGCAACGCUUGCUUGCAAAUCGCACGACACUAUAAUAGUGACGCCCCCACAUCUCUACGGUAAUAUAUGUUGUUCAUAUAUGGUGAGGCUUGUGCUGUUCUGCUCCCCAUGGAGAGGGGAAUGAGGAUGGAUGUUUUCUGGUGCUUGGAUUAUAAUCUUAUUAAGAGAGGAUUAGAGAAGGAGGAGGCUUCAGUAAUGUCCAGCUACACAGGAAGAAAGUUGAACGCAUUGCUUUGUGCUCUGCUCUAUCACUGUCGGAGAGGAUGGAAAAAACAGAGGUGCUAUAAAAGUAUGGUUCUGAUGCACUGGCUGCUGCUUUGAUUUUGGGUGAAGAUCGCGUAUGGAAGAAUAGGAUAAGCGCCAGAAGUGUGCUCCUAAGCUUCUAUUAGGAAGUAGUAGAGAGGAUGAAGAGAAAAUGAACACCGGCACAAGUAAUCUAUUUGCUCCUGGCAUUCAUUCGACUCUACACUGCAAUGCACAUAAAAGAAAGAAGUGAACUGUCGUACACAAGUCACAGACAAACCUUACAUAGUGUACAAAUUUCCCAUAUUCAUGGCCUGGUGAAUUGUCUUUUGAUCGAGUUGUUGGUAUUGAGAAUAGGAUUUGAUGUCAGGGUUAGAGAAACUGACACAAUUUUUGCAUGGAAGGUGUUGGACAAUAUCAAUCAGUUUGAUCAAUUUUUAUAGGCCAGGAAACAAUCAAGAUAACACAAUAAUCUCUUUCUCAAACUAAAGUAAUAAUAGUUAAAAUGCUCGGUUCAAUCUUCCUCUGUUACAAAUCUGGACUCAUGUUACCUUUAUUGUUAACCUAUACAAUCUCUAAUUGUAUUUUUCCUUGCAGAUAGCCAUACAAAUGAUGAUAGCCAUACAAAUGAUCUGGGAUCUUCCUUGGAUCAAAGACCUAAAAAGCACCACUAGCUACAUCAAGUUAUGUCGGCUGCGGGAGGUGGCAGCUUUGCUUGCGUCUGGGUGGUGGAAGCGAGCCAACAAUUUGGGUGGAAGGAAAAUGAUGAAGCUGUGUUGUCUGUUACUUGGUUCCAGCAAUAGCAAAAAAAAAAAUACUUUCUAGGUGCUCAAAUUAUCAAGUAGACAUGACCUUUUGUAUAAACAUUUUUUUAUACUUCCAAGUUCUAAUUUAAGCUAAUUGCAUGUAAUUUAAGCUAAUUGCAUGACUUUAUCGUUAUAUAUCAUUACAAAUAUUGCAUACUAAAUUGAUACUUAUAAAGAUAAUUUUUUUAUCACCCAUUUGUUUCUCACUCCUUUUUACCCCCUGGCCCCUGCAAAGUGCUGAUUGCCUAGAUUGAUUGCAUUAUUUCAACAAAGUUCAAGUAGGUUUAGCAGCUACGGCCACUUCUUCCUUAGUUUCUUCCUCGGCUCCAGCGUUUGAACCCUUCCUCUAUCUAUUGGGUACUGCAUACCUGUACAUUGAUCUUGUGUACUGUUUCGUUUCAGGUUCAAGCUGCUGUGAAGUGGACAAGGACCCAAGCAAGGGAUGGCACCUUGGAUUUCAAGACAAUGGUCAAGAGUGCUCGACUUUAGCGAUCAGAUUUUGCCUAUCUUCACUUAUGUUGUUCCAUAAAUCUAAUAAGAUAAAGCUUUGCUCAGUUGUGCCCCUACAUACUUAUAACUCUUGAGUCGAAUCAAUUUUGCGUGAAUAUCUCACACCUAUGCUCCUGGAAAUUAUGUGUAGCUCCACGUAAAAAAAUGACCAUAAUUGUUUUUGCGAAGUGCAAUUGGAAACCUUACUUGA
Molecule: long non-coding RNA, 3038 nt
Organism: Panicum virgatum (switchgrass)
Lineage: Eukaryota; Viridiplantae; Streptophyta; Magnoliopsida; Poales; Poaceae
Exons: 3
Source: RefSeq, a predicted model, not a curated record